GUUUGAUCCUGGCUCAGGAUGAACGCUGGCGGCGUGCCUAAUACAUGCAAGUCGAACGCUUCACUUCGGUGAAGAGUGGCGAACGGGUGAGUAAUACAUAAGUAACCUGGCAUCUACAGGGGGAUAACUGAUGGAAACGUCAGCUAAGACCGCAUAGGUGUAGAGAUCGCAUGAACUCUAUAUGAAAAGUGCUACGGGACUGGUAGAUGAUGGACUUAUGGCGCAUUAGCUGGUUGGUAGGGUAACGGCCUACCAAGGCGACGAUGCGUAGCCGACCUGAGAGGGUGACCGGCCACACUGGGACUGAGACACGGCCCAGACUCCUACGGGAGGCAGCAGUAGGGAAUUUUCGGCAAUGGGGGAAACCCUGACCGAGCAACGCCGCGUGAAGGAAGAAGUAAUUCGUUAUGUAAACUUCUGUCAUAGAGGAAGAACGGUGGAUAUAGGGAAUGAUAUCCAAGUGACGGUACUCUAUAAGAAAGCCACGGCUAACUACGUGCCAGCAGCCGCGGUAAUACGUAGGUGGCGAGCGUUAUCCGGAAUUAUUGGGCGUAAAGAGGGAGCAGGCGGCACUAAGGGUCUGUGGUGAAAGAUCGAAGCUUAACUUCGGUAAGCCAUGGAAACCGUAGAGCUAGAGUGUGUGAGAGGAUCGUGGAAUUCCAUGUGUAGCGGUGAAAUGCGUAGAUAUAUGGAGGAACACCAGUGGCGAAGGCGACGAUCUGGCGCAUAACUGACGCUCAGUCCCGAAAGCGUGGGGAGCAAAUAGGAUUAGAUACCCUAGUAGUCCACGCCGUAAACGAUGAGUACUAAGUGUUGGGUGUCAAAGCUCAGUGCUGCAGUUAACGCAAUAAGUACUCCGCCUGAGU
This 866-nucleotide ribosomal RNA is filed under the name human gut metagenome. Its description in RNAcentral is "bacterial SSU rRNA". It matches the Rfam family "Bacterial small subunit ribosomal RNA", at positions 11 to 878 of the family's 1533-position model. The record is from RNAcentral.